GGGCACUGUCUGUAACCUGUUGAUUUGGCUAUAGCUAAUGGGUUCCAUUCCGGUGCAACAGAAUUUCUAGGGACACAUGACUGGUGGAUUUCGGUUUUGGGUCUUGGGGACGUGC
Nycticebus coucang (slow loris) is the source of this 115-nucleotide small nucleolar RNA. The record is from RefSeq and is a predicted model, not a curated record. Lineage: Eukaryota; Metazoa; Chordata; Mammalia; Primates; Lorisidae.